Long non-coding RNA from Helianthus annuus (common sunflower), 1337 nucleotides. RefSeq lists it as uncharacterized. The record is from RefSeq and is a predicted model, not a curated record. The transcript is spliced from 6 exons. NCBI's taxonomy places the organism in Eukaryota, Viridiplantae, Streptophyta, Magnoliopsida, Asterales, Asteraceae.
UUCCCGCUCCUCCUUCCCUCCCAAUAUUUGGAUCUGCAACCACACAUUCCUUCUCCCAAAUUCCAAUUAGUCUUCUUCUCUCUGGUUGAUCCAUUUCCCCACUUCUCGUUUCCCACCUAAUUUGUUACUUCUCAUUUCCCUAAUAACAGUGAACUGCGGUUGUGUGGUCGUUGUUACAAAAAUAGAGAGGGUGAACGAUGAACGACAGGGACGGCGAAACGAGGGAAGAUUGGAAGUGACCGUUGAAGAACGUACGAAUCGUUGUUGCGUUCCGCAAUGGAUUUUACAGUCAGCGCUCUAACUUUGCCAUUUAUGGACAGUUAAUUCUUUUUAAGCUUUCUAUUUUUUAAUCCAGAAACUUGUUUGUUUUGGAAACUUGGAGUAUGAUAUUUAUAUUAAAAAUGAAGGAUAAAAAUGAAGGAUACCGAGGCAGUGACGAACAGUACAAGUAAGUUAUUGACAAACUUGCUUCUUUCAAGUAAGCAAUUCGUGGUCUACAUGGUUCAUCCAUGAUGGCCCAAUGUAUCCAAGGCUGAAUUAAAUUGCCAUCUCUAUACUCAUGUUCAGAACUCAGUUUGGUGGUGGUAAAUCAACCGGGUGGGAUUGAUCUAUGAUUCCGUUGAAAAUGUAAAUAAUCAUAAACCAAAAUACAGGCUUUGUCUGAAUUGUUUGGACACCAAAGUUGAGAAGUCAAAAACGCAAUUGAAGGAAAGAAAGAACAUGGCAAAGAUGAUCAGAGGUGUAAAGAAGAAAUAUGGUGAUUGGAGGAAGUUAACAGGGCUCUCACUUGAUAGCCAAUAGUGUAUUUAAAAUGGCGGGAUUCACACUUUUCGACCUAUAUUGUAAGAAGAACCUAAUCCUCAAUCGGCAAGAUCAGAGAUGAAAUGUAAUUGUCAGAGUCAAGAAGGUUGGAACCAUCAAAGAAGUCUAAGAUCAGAAAUGAAAAGAUUUUUGGAUUACAUCGGAAGCUGGAUCGUCUCAACCACCUUCAAGCGAGACCGAAGCACUUCGAAAUCAGGUUGCUUCACUAGAAGAGGAAUUGAAACAAAGCAAUGGAAAAUAUGAAAAAUUGUCAAUGUUCACGCCCUCAAAGUUUUUGGAUUUUGAGAGCUUAUUAUCCACACGUAUUAUCAGUAGUGAAGCAAAUGAUUUGGAUGAGCAACUCAAUGACCAUAACAGUUUGAUCUAGGAGGUGAGAUAGUUCAAACUUAUUUUGUUAAUGCUGUAUUGAUUAAUGUUUUGAAGUUUAGAACAAAUCUACCAAGUAUUAUUUAUUUAUAUGUUUGAUUCUAUACUUUUUAUAGUUUAGAAAUAACAUCCUAUAAUGUUAUGGGUUA